AUAGAAGUAAAAUUACACUCAGUUUCGGCCUGAAAAUAGGUUGCUUUAACCCUAUUUAUU
Molecule: transfer RNA, 60 nt
Filed under: Parhyale hawaiensis
Lineage: Eukaryota; Metazoa; Arthropoda; Malacostraca; Amphipoda; Hyalidae
Description: tRNA-Arg
Source: RNAcentral